GAUGAACGCUAGCGGCAGGCUUAACACAUGCAAGUCGAGGGGCAGCGUGUCAGUAGCAAUACUGAUGACGGCGACCCGCGCAAGGGUGCGUAACGCGUGAGCAACAUGCCUGUUACGGGAGGAUAAUCCAGGGAAACUUGGUCUAAUACUCCAUAAUAUCACAGAGGGGCAUCCCUUAGUGAUUAAAGAUACGUCGGUAACAGAUUGGCUCGCGUGACAUUAGCUUGAUGGAGGGGUAACGGCCCCCCAUGGCUACGAUGUCUAGGGGUUCUGAGAGGAAGGUCCCCCACACUGGAACUGAGACACGGUCCAGACUCCUACGGGAGGCAGCAGUGAGGAAUAUUGGACAAUGGAUGGAAAUCUGAUCCAGCCAUGCCGCGUGAAGGAAGGCGGUCCUAUGGAUUGUAAACUUCUUUUGCGGGAGAGCAAUAAGGUGUACGUGUACACCGAUGAGAGUAUCCCGCGAAUAAGCAUCGGCUAACUCCGUGCCAGCAGCCGCGGUAAUACGGAGGAUGCGAGCGUUAUCCGGAUUUAUUGGGUUUAAAGGGUGCGUAGGCGGCGAUAGCAAGUCAGCGGUGAAAACACGUUGCCCAACAGCGUGCGUGCCGUUGAUACUGCGUUGCUGGAAUGACCCCGCUGUAUGCGGAAUGUGUAGUGUAGCGGUGAAAUGCAUAGAUAUUACACAGAACACCGAUUGCGAAGGCAGCAUACAAGAGGUUUAUUGACGCUGAGGCACGAAAGUGCGGGUAUCGAACAGGAUUAGAUACCCUGGUAGUCCGCACAGUAAACGAUGAUAACUAGCCGUAAGUCCGUUAGGAUUUGUGGCCAAGAGAAAUCGAUAAGUUAUCCACCUGGGGAGUACGGCCGCAAGGCUGAAACUCAAAGGAAUUGACGGGGGCCCGCACAAGCGGAGGAACAUGUGGUUUAAUUCGAUGAUACGCGAGGAACCUUACCCGGGCUCGAACGGUACAGGAGUCAUGCAGAGAUGUAUGAGGCAGCAAUGCCCUGUGCCGAGGUGCUGCAUGGUUGUCGUCAGCUCGUGCCGUGAGGUGUCGGCUUAAGUGCCAUAACGAGCGCAACCCUUCUCCACAGUUACCAUCAGGUUAAGCUGGGGACUCUGUGGACACUGCCACCGUAAGGUGUGAGGAAGGUGGGGAUGACGUCAAAUCAGCACGGCCCUUACGUCCGGGGCGACACACGUGUUACAAUGGCCGGUACAGAGGGAAGCGGGGCAGCGAUGCCGAGCCAAUCUCAAAAGCCGGUCCCAGUUCGGAUUGGAGUCUGCAACCCGACUCCAUGAAGUUGGAUUCGCUAGUAAUCGCGCAUCAGCCAUGGCGCGGUGAAUACGUUCCCGGGCCUUGUACACACCGCCCGUCAGGCCAUGGAAGCCGGGGGUGCCUGAAGUUCGAGACCGUAAGGAUCGGCCUAGGGCAAAACUGGUAACUGGGGC
Molecule: ribosomal RNA, 1450 nt
Filed under: uncultured Bacteroidaceae bacterium
Lineage: Bacteria; Pseudomonadati; Bacteroidota; Bacteroidia; Bacteroidales; Bacteroidaceae
Description: 16S ribosomal RNA
Rfam family: Bacterial small subunit ribosomal RNA
Source: RNAcentral